AAAAAUUCCGUGGGAAGCUGGGGGGACCACCCUCCAAGGCGAAAUACUCGUGACGACCGAUAGUGAACAAGUACCGUGAGGGAAAGGUGAAAAGCACCCCGGAAGGGGGAUGAAAAGACCCUGAAACCGUGCGCCGACAAGCAGUCAGAGCAUUGAGAGAUGUGAUGGCGUGCCUAUUGAAGAAUGAGCCGGCGAGUUACUCCGUGUCGCUGAGGUUAAGACCGUGAAGGGUCGGAGCCGGAGCGAAAGCGAGUCUGAACAGGGCGUCUUGUGGCACGGAGUAGACCCGAAACCGCGUGAGCUACCCAUGGCCAGGGUGAAGGUCCGGUAAUGCGGACUGGAGGCCCGAACCCAUCAAUGGUUCAAAAUUGAGGGAUGAGCUGUGGGUAGGGGUGAAAUGCCAAACGAACGCGGAGAUAGCUGGUUCUCCCCGAAAUGCAUUUAGGUGCAGCCCUAGGGGAAGCGUCGUGGAGGUAGGGCACUGGAUGGGCAAGCGGGCGAGAGCUUAGCGACCCCAACCAAACCACGAAUGCCACGACAGCAUACCUGGGAGUGAGACUGUGGGGGCUAAGCUCCAGAGUCGAGAGGGAAACAACCCGGACCGCCAGCUAAGGCCCCAAAUUCCAGGCUUAGUGUCAAAGGAUGUGAAGUCGCCCAGACAGCCAGGAGGUUGGCUUAGAAGCAGCCACCCUUGAAAGAGUGCGUAACAGCUCACUGGUCGAGUGAUUUCGCGCCGACAAUGUACCGGGGCUCAAGCCUGGAGCCGAAGCUGCGGAUGUACUCUUGUUAGAGAGUAUGUGGUAGGGGAGCGUCGUCAUUGCGGCGAAGUCGUCUGGUGAUGGACGGUGGAGCGAUGACGAGUGCGAAUGCCGGCAUGAGUGGCGUAAGGCAUGUGAGCAAGCAUGCCCACCGAAUGGCCGAGGUUUCCGACGGAAGGUUAAUCCUCGUCGGGUUAGUCGGGCCUAAGCCGAGGCCGAGAGGCGUAGGCGAUGGACACACGGUUGAUAUUCCGUGACCGCUCGUGGACGAUCAAGUCCUCGUCUGGUGCGGGGUAGGGUAGGUCGAGCGCGCCGAUUGGACAUGGUGCGUCUAAGCCCGCAGUGUUGUAUUCCUUCGGGGGUACGAUGUGAGGGGUGGGAAACCUUGAGGUUCCGGCCUUGGGGAAUUCGAUUGAUCCUGGCCUCCGAGAAAAGCCAGCAGAGGGAAGCCGCGAGCGACCGUACCGCAAACCGACACGGGUGGCCGGGUGCGAGAGCACCAAGGUGGACGGGUGAGUCCUCGUUAAGGAACUAGGCAAGUUGACCCCGUAACUUCGGGAGAAGGGGUACCGCAGUAGUGUGAAGCCACUGGCUGGUGGAGCAUGAAGCGGGCGCAGAGAAUAGGCCCAUGCGACUGUUUACCAAAAACACAGCUCCCUGCUAACGCGGAAGCGGACGUAUAGGGGGUGACGCCUGCCCGAUGCCGGAAGGUCAAGGGGAGCGGUGAGAGCUGCGAACCGAAGCCCCGGUCAAUGGCGGCCGUAACUAUAACGGUCCUAAGGUAGCGAAAUUCCUUGUCGGGUAAGUUCCGACCCGCACGAAUGGCGUAACGACAUGGGCGCUGUCUCAACGAGGGGCCCGGCGAAAUUGAACUGGCCGUGAAGAUGCGGCCUACCCGCGACAGGACAAAAAGACCCCGUGGAGCUUUACUGUAGCCUGACGUUGGGUCGGGGCUCGGGAUGCGUGAAA
This 1727-nucleotide ribosomal RNA is filed under the name metagenome. RNAcentral's name for it is "bacterial LSU rRNA". It matches the Rfam family "Bacterial large subunit ribosomal RNA", at positions 427 to 2143 of the family's 2925-position model. The record is from RNAcentral.